UGUCAAAGCAACAACAACCCGACCAUAGAGCAGACAACAGCCGAAGACCACCAAUGGGUCUUCAAUGUAGCAAGGAACUCCUGCACUCAGAGGGGUCAUCAGCUGGCCCCUUAACAAAUAUGCAUACUAGUUCAGUGAUAAUGGAUGUCAUACUAAACUCCAAAAUAUACACCAGAGACUAAAAUUAAAACUCAUACCAGACUAACAAAGGAUAGAGGCUCCUGACUUGGGACAUAUACCUAUAGCUAAUGUAGAAAAACAAAUGCACAAUAAUAUGCACAAUAAAACUCAGUUUAAGAGAAGUCUGAGGCUGAUGUCUGAAUAUGAACCAAAAGAAAAUAAACAAGACAAUAAUACAUAAAUAACAACAGACUACUAGCAGUUACUGACAUGCCAGCUCCAGAC
This 405-nucleotide long non-coding RNA is filed under the name Mytilus galloprovincialis (Mediterranean mussel). Lineage: Eukaryota; Metazoa; Mollusca; Bivalvia; Mytilida; Mytilidae. The record is from RNAcentral.